AUAUAAGUAUUAUUUUGUUUUGGUUAAUAUUUUUAUUAAUAUUUUAUUUUACAUGUAAAUUUUUGUAUGAAUUAAUUUAAUUUUUAAAAAAUUAAAUUUAUUAAUUUAUUCGCAGUAAUUAAUAUUAAUUAAAAAAGAAAUUUUGUAUUAGUAAUAAUAUAUAGUAUUGGUAAAAUUUGUGCCAGCUACCGCGGUUAUACAAAUAAUGCAAAUAAAAAUUUUUAGUAUUAGUUAAAUUAAAAAAUAAUUAUAAUAUAAAUAUAAAUUUAUUAGGUGAAAUUUUUAAAUUUAUUUAUUUAUUAUUAAAAAAAAUAAUUUAAGCUAUAAACUUUUUAUAAUAAACUAGGAUUAGAUACCCUAUUAUUAAAAAUAAAUAUUUAAAUACUAAAGUAGUAUUAGUUAUAUUCUUAAAAUUUAAAAAAUUUGGCGGUGUUUUAGUCUAUUUAGAGGAAUCUGUCCUGUAAUUGAUAAUUCACAUUGAACCUUACUUAAAUUUGUUUAAUUUGUAUAUCGCCGUCAUCAGAAUAUAUUAUAAGAUAAAAAUUUUCUAAAAAUUUUAUUAAAUAAAAUGUCAGGUCAAGGUGCAGUUUAUGUUUAAGUAGAGAUGGAUUACAAUAAAUUUAUUUAAAUGAAUAAUUUUUUGAAAUAAAAGUUUGAAGGUGGAUUUAAUAGUAAUAUAAAAUAGAUUAUUUAUAUGAUUUUAGCUCUAAAACAUGUACAUAUCGCCCAUCGUUCUUAUUAUUAAAAUAAGAUAAGUUGUAACAUAGUAGAUGUACUGGAAAGUGUAUCUAGAAAGA
Molecule: non-coding RNA, 797 nt
Filed under: Aedes galloisi
Lineage: Eukaryota; Metazoa; Arthropoda; Insecta; Diptera; Culicidae
Source: RNAcentral